Molecule: ribosomal RNA, 422 nt
Filed under: uncultured eukaryote
Lineage: Eukaryota
Description: bacterial SSU rRNA
Rfam family: Eukaryotic small subunit ribosomal RNA
Source: RNAcentral
CAAUAGCGUAUAUUAAAGUUGUUGCGGUUAAAAAGCUCGUAGUUGGAUUUCUGCCGAGGACGACCGGUCCGCCCUCUGGGUGUGUAUCUGGCUCGGCCUGGGCAUCUUCUUGGAGAACGUAUCUGCACUUGACUGUGUGGUGCGGUAUCCAGGACUUUUACUUUGAGGAAAUUAGAGUGUUUCAAGCAGGCAUACGCCUUGAAUACAUUAGCAUGGAAUAAUAAGAUAGGACCUCGGUUCUAUUUUGUUGGUUUCUAGAGCUGAGGUAAUGAUUAAUAGGGAUAGUUGGGGGUGCUAGUAUUCAGCGGCCAGAGGUGAAAUUCUUGGAUUCGCUGAAGACUAACUUAUGCGAAAGCAUUCACCAAGGAUGUCUUCUUUAAUCAAGAACGAAAGUUGGGGGAUCGAAGAUGAUUAGAUACCGU